UUUCAGUUAAGAAAAGUCGUCGAAAGUGAGUAGUUUAAUUCAGGCAAAAUACAUAACAUAACAUUUUAGCCAUGACGUGUUGGAUAUCUUUGCUCCUCGCUGCAAUUGUUUCGAUUCAGUGCAUCAGUGCGCAAUCAGCGAAACUCUAUGUGGGUAAUUUAUCCUGGACCACUACUGACGACACUCUCAGAGAGGCUUUUGGAGUUUAUGGGCUAGUAAUCGAAGCUAUUGUUAUGCGGGACAGAGAUACCGAACGUAGCCGAGGCUUCGGUUUUGUUACAAUGGCUACAGAGGACGAAGCGAAUGCAGCAGUUGAAGCACUAAACGAACAAGAAUUAGACGG
Long non-coding RNA from Bradysia coprophila, 343 nucleotides. RefSeq lists it as uncharacterized. Lineage: Eukaryota; Metazoa; Arthropoda; Insecta; Diptera; Sciaridae. The record is from RefSeq and is a predicted model, not a curated record.